UACGUAGGCAGCAAGCGUUUGUUCGGAGUUACUGGGCGUAAAGGGUGCGUAGGCGGUCCUAUAAGUAUGGUGUGAAAUCUCCCGGCUUAACUGGGAGGUGCGCUAUAGACUGUGGGACUAGAGUGUGGGAGAGGAAAGUGGAAUUCCUGAUGUAGCGGUGAAAUGCGUAGAUAUCAGGAGGAACACCGGUGGUGUAAACGGCUUUCUGGACCAUAACUGACGCUGGAGGCACGAAAGCGUGGGUAGCAAACAGG
This 254-nucleotide ribosomal RNA is filed under the name uncultured bacterium. RNAcentral describes it as "partial 16S ribosomal RNA". It matches the Rfam family "Bacterial small subunit ribosomal RNA", at positions 524 to 776 of the family's 1533-position model. The record is from RNAcentral.